This 253-nucleotide ribosomal RNA is filed under the name uncultured bacterium. RNAcentral describes it as "partial 16S ribosomal RNA". It matches the Rfam family "Bacterial small subunit ribosomal RNA", at positions 524 to 776 of the family's 1533-position model. The record is from RNAcentral.
UACGUAGGGGGCGAGCGUUGUCCGGAGUUACUGGGCGUAAAGCGCACGCAGGCGGUGCGGCACGUUUGGGGUUACAGCUCCCGGCUCAACUGGGAGAGCGCCUCGAAGACGGCGGCACUUGAGGGCCAGAGAGGGACACGGAACUCCGGGUGGAGUGGUGAAAUGCGUAGAUAUCUGGAGGAACACCGGUGGCGAAGGCGGCAUCCUGGACCAAUUCUGACGCUGAGGAGCGAAAGCCAGGGGAGCAAACGGG